This 1766-nucleotide ribosomal RNA is filed under the name human gut metagenome. RNAcentral's name for it is "bacterial LSU rRNA". It matches the Rfam family "Bacterial large subunit ribosomal RNA", at positions 1120 to 2925 of the family's 2925-position model. The record is from RNAcentral.
CAUUUAAAGAGUGCGUAACAGCUCACUAGUCGAGGAGUUUGGCGUGGAUAAUAAUCGGGCAUUAAGUAUUCUACCGAAGCUUUGGGAUGUGUAAACAUCGGUAGGGGAGCAUUCCACUCGGCGUUGAAGGUGAGGCGUGAGCCUUGCUGGAGCGUGUGGAAAAGCAAAUGUAGGUAUAAGUAACGAUAAAGGGGGUGGGAAACCCCCUCGCCGAAAGACUAAGGUUUCCUGAUCAACGCUAAUCGGAUCAGGGUAAGUCGGGUCCUAAGGCUCAGCCGAACGGCGAGGCCGAUGGCAGAACCGGUUAAUAUUCCGGUACUACCUGUGGGAGUGACGUGGAGACGGAGUCGUGACAGCGCCGCGGACUGACGGAAUAGUCCGUUGAAGGGUGUAGAUGCUGAUUGUUCCAGGCAAAUCCGGAGCAAGAGUCGAACCUGAUAGUAUGGAGCGUUCUUAGAACAAUCCAAUAGUGCGUGUAAUCAUACUUCCAAGAAAAUCCGCUAAACUUAAUCCUGCAGGUACCCGUACCGCAAACGGACACACGUAGUCGGGUUGAAUAUACUAAGGCGCUUGAGUGAUUCACGGUUAAGGAACUAGGCAAACUGACCCUGUAACUUCGGGAUAAAGGGUCCUCGCUUAACGGCGAGGCGCAGAGAAUAGGUCCAGGCAACUGUUUAACAAAAACACAGGGCUGUGCAAAAUUGAAAGAUGAAGUAUACAGCCUGACACCUGCCCGGUGCUGGAAGGUUAAGAGGAGAUGUCAUCGCAAGAGAAGCAUUGAAUUGAAGCCCCAGUAAACGGCGGCCGUAACUAUAACGGUCCUAAGGUAGCGAAAUUCCUUGUCGGGUAAGUUCCGACCUGCACGAAUGGUGUAAUGAUCUGGACGCUGUCUCAACCGUGAGCUCAGUGAAAUUGUAGUAUCGGUGAAGAUGCCGAUUACCCGCGAUGGGACGAAAAGACCCCGUGAACCUUUACUAUAGCUUAACAUUGAAUUUGGGUAAUUGAUGUGUAGGAUAGGCCGGAGGCUUCGAAGCGGGCACGCCAGUGUCCGUGGAGCCGCUGUUGAAAUACGGCCCUUUGAUUAUUUGAGUUCUAACCCGUUGUUGCGGGGACACUGUUUGGUGGGUAGUUUGACUGGGGUGGUCGCCUCCAAAAGUGUAACGGAGGCUUCUAAAGGUGCCCUCACGACGAUUGGUAACCGUCGGCAGAGUGUAAUGGCAUAAGGGCGCUUGACUGGGAGACUAACAAGUCGAUCAGGUAGGAAACUAGAGCAUAGUGAUCCGGUGUUUCCGUAUGGAAGGGACAUCGCUCAAAGGAUAAAAGGUACUCCGGGGAUAACAGGCUGAUCCCUCCCAAGAGCUCAUAUCGACGGAGUGGUUUGGCACCUCGAUGUCGGCUCGUCACAUCCUGGGGCUGGAGAAGGUCCCAAGGGUUGGGCUGUUCGCCCAUUAAAGUGGCACGCGAGCUGGGUUCAGAACGUCGUGAGACAGUUCGGUCUCUAUCUAUCGUGGGCGCAUGAAAUUUGCGUGGCUCUGACACUAGUACGAGAGGACCGUGUUGGACUGACCUCUGGUUUACCGGUUGUGCCGCCAGGUGCAUUGCCGGGUAUCUAAGUCGGGAUUGGAUAAGUGCUGAAAGCAUCUAAGUACGAAGCCAGCCACAAGAUUAGAUUUCUCAGGGUCGUUGUAGACUACAACGUUGAUAGGAUGCAGGUGUACAGGCAGCGAUGUCAUAGCCGAGCAUUACUAAUUGCCCGUCCACUUUUU